CAUAUUUAUUGCUCCAAAUUUUUUUUAUUGUUGGAAUAUUGAUAUAUAUGAAGACGCAAUAGUACAAAAUGAACGGCCUCAAUGGUGUAACAAAGGAAAUUUAUGUGUUUCUUUCAUUGAAUAAUUAAGUAAUAAAAUAAGGACUAGUUCUUUACAAGAAAUAUAUAUAAAUAUUCAAAAUGAAAUACUGCUUCCUUUCCCUGAAUGUUUCAAACACGAAAAAUAUGAAUAGUACAAACAUAUAUAUAAAUUGUAUACUAUAAUAUUACCGGGAAAACUAAAACCGAAGCUAAGCUUGUCCUCAUUUUAAAAAUAAUAUAAAUAAUGUUUCUUAAAGGAAAUAAUUUAUAUGUAAGUAGGAUAGAGCAGUGGCUGAGUAGGUUCAAAAUCAUCCUUGCUACCCAAGUUCGAAUCCCCACAGCUAAGUUUUAACCACUAGAGUUGAUAUGGCGGUUCAGNNNNNNNNNNNNNNNNNNNNNNNUCAGCGUCAUGUCCCUUAAACAAAAACUCGAAGAGCUUCUUGAGUGGAGCAAACUCUGUGGCCAGUACUUUGGAAAAAAAAAAAAAGUAGGAUAGAGUGAAAGAAUGUAAAGAAGAGCCAUGCAUGCGUACCCUAAAAAGAAUUAGGGAUUGUUUUUUGGAUAAACGUUGGAAGAUUGGAGAGCUUCUUGAGAGGGCAAGAUGAAAGUGGAACAAUUGGUAUAUUUUGGCAAUUGCAAAUUUCAAUCAUGU
This 732-nucleotide long non-coding RNA is filed under the name Capsicum annuum. RNAcentral describes it as "long non-coding RNA (CANN_LNC013128)". The record is from RNAcentral. Lineage: Eukaryota; Viridiplantae; Streptophyta; Magnoliopsida; Solanales; Solanaceae.